GUGCCAGCAGCCGCGGUAAUACGUAGGUGGCAAGCGUUGUCCGGAUUUACUGGGCGUAAAGAGCGCGCAGGCGGUCGAGUAAGUCGAAUGUGAAAGCCCCCGGCUUAACUGGGGAGGGUCAUUCGAUACUGUUCGACUUGAAGGCAGGAGAGGGCAGCAGAAUUCCCGGUGUAGUGGUGAAAUGCGUAGAUAUCGGGAGGAAUACCAGUGGCGAAGGCGGCUGCCUGGCCUGUUCUUGACGCUGAGGCGCGAAAGCUGGGGGAGCAAACGGGAUUAGAAACCCUCGUAGUCC
RNAcentral lists this ribosomal RNA (292 nucleotides) under uncultured bacterium. RNAcentral's name for it is "partial 16S ribosomal RNA". It matches the Rfam family "Bacterial small subunit ribosomal RNA", at positions 505 to 796 of the family's 1533-position model. The record is from RNAcentral.